This 69-nucleotide small nucleolar RNA is filed under the name Carlito syrichta (Philippine tarsier). RNAcentral's name for it is "Small nucleolar RNA SNORD66 (ENSTSYG00000024284.2)". It matches the Rfam family "Small nucleolar RNA SNORD66". From Rfam's summary of the family: snoRNA HBII-142 is part of the C/D family of snoRNAs. It is the human orthologue of the mouse MBII-142 snoRNA and is predicted to guide 2'O-ribose methylation of small 18S rRNA at residue C1272. The record is from RNAcentral. Lineage: Eukaryota; Metazoa; Chordata; Mammalia; Primates; Tarsiidae.
CUUCAUUGAUGACCUCCCACUUGGGCCAUUGUUUCUGGGUCAUGGAAGCCCUGUGAUGGAACCUAGGAG